CUCAUGCAACAGAGCCAUGUGGAUAGCAGCUACCAGCCUACUGUGGUGACAUCAGUAGCCAUAACCCCAACCACAGCCAACAAGAAGAGAAUGAAGACCACCACAAAACAAGACAGUGGGCUCCAAGUGGGGCACACACACCCCAGAAGAUAUGCAAGAGGCCACAGACGAUGUGAAGAAUAUAUUAAAACUUCUAACAUUUAUCCAAAAGCACUUAACUUUGUGAUUGUGCCACAUACAGCACACCCCAGCAGAAAUAUACUUCAAGUCACCUUUCUAGAAUUGGUGUUUUUUACUGAUUUAACAAAUGCUGGACACAAAAAUCCAGGUUCUGAUAACAGUUUAGAGGCAGUUUCACCAGGGUGGUGGUUUUCCGAAUCACUCUUCACCUUCUCCACAAACAUCUUGAAAACUUGGUGUGAGGGGCAGCCUCAGAGAAGAGCUUUUCAGGGAAAAGCACUACAUGGGAGUCAUUGACCAAAAUCUCUUUCAGAUUCUUCUGACUCUGCUAAGCGUACAUCUUUGUGCAAGUCCCGUAAGCUCUCCAGGCCUCUUGUUUCUUCAACCAUAAGAUUAACUAACAACAGUAAUUAUUAGUUAUGUUAUUAUGGUGAUUAUGAAAAUAACAGUAGCUAACAUUUAUUAGGUGCUUAGGCACAGAGCAUGUUGUAAGAUCUCAUUUAGUUGCCGCAAGGACUCUACAUCCAG
Molecule: long non-coding RNA, 708 nt
Filed under: Canis lupus familiaris (dog)
Lineage: Eukaryota; Metazoa; Chordata; Mammalia; Carnivora; Canidae
Description: lncRNA (ENSCAFG00000053820.1)
Source: RNAcentral